Molecule: non-coding RNA, 75 nt
Organism: Danionella cerebrum
Lineage: Eukaryota; Metazoa; Chordata; Actinopteri; Cypriniformes; Danionidae
Source: the annotation of a GenBank genome assembly
GCUUUCCUAUGCCUCAAUCGGUAGAGAUUUGUGCUAACAAUGUAAAGGUUGUGGGUUCUAAUCCCAGGGAAAGCC